This is a non-coding RNA of Gossypium raimondii (Peruvian cotton), 121 nucleotides long. The record is from Rfam. NCBI's taxonomy places the organism in Eukaryota, Viridiplantae, Streptophyta, Magnoliopsida, Malvales, Malvaceae.
UAUUAAAAAUUUCAUCCAUUUAUAUGGUUAAAAAUUAGCUAGCAAUGUGAUGCACUACGUGUACCUCAUGUUAACAUAUAGAAACUAAUUUUUAACAGCAAAAAUAGAUGAAAUUUUAAUA